This is an RNA transcript of Camelina sativa (false flax), 658 nucleotides long. It is a transcript of the gene named protein NUCLEAR FUSION DEFECTIVE 6, mitochondrial-like, with no coding region annotated. The record is from RefSeq and is a predicted model, not a curated record. NCBI's taxonomy places the organism in Eukaryota, Viridiplantae, Streptophyta, Magnoliopsida, Brassicales, Brassicaceae.
CCUUACGCAAAAACCCUUCGCAAAAGCCCUAAUCUCUUUCUCUCCUCUCCAAGAAGGAAAAAAAAAAACCCCAAAUCGAAAGAUCCGAAUCGUUCAAUGUCCGCCGCCAGGUCAGUCUUCCGCUCCGCCGCAAGCCGAGCAUCCGCCGCCGCGUCGAGGUUCUCCACCGGACCCAAGCCUAUGCCAUCAUCGGCACGUUCCGCGUUUCGGAUGCCUAAACAGAGCCCUCUUUCAAACCGCAUUUUCAGAUCACCCGUGGAACUGAGCAGUUGUGUGGAGACGAUGCUCCCUUACCACACUGCCACUGCUUCAGCUUUGCUCAAUUCGAUGCUCUCAGCUUCACGCCGUGGUUGGAUCGUUGAAGGGCUAGACGAGACUAGAUGAAAGAACUAUCAACAAGAGUGAUAUUGCAAUGAUGAUGUAUGAUGAAAUUACUGGGGAGAGGUCAGCGAUGCAUGCAGUCUAAGACAAGAUGGAUGACUCUUCUUCUCACCAUUGCAGUAGCCAGGAAGAUUUGUUUUAAGAGUUGUUAGACCACUUGUGUUGAUUUUUAAACCAUAAGAAGUGGUUCCUGCAAAUGUUUUCUACUACUUUAUUUACCUUUAUAAAUAUCAAGUGAAUUUCUUGAAUCAGUUAACAUGAGUUCUUACUUCUUACA